AUUUUCUGUAUGUUCUUAGUUUGAUUCCAUUAGGGCUAUUUUGGUCGUUUCAAAGACUGUCUUUCCAAAAAAUUAUAUAUCUUUCAGCUAAUUUUUUAUCUACAGCAUUAAAAAGGAAUUUUGUGCUGAAAGUAUUUUUAUGUUUCCAUAUAUGAUUAAAACCUAUUUUUGAAAGAGCAUUUUUUUUUUGACCGCAAAACCAUUAUUUAAAUUUAAACUACAUUUAUAGGCAGUUGAAGCAUACCCGUCUUUUUUGCAUUCAUCAAAUGGCACCAAUAGCCAACAGAAGCCAUUACAGCAUCAAUAGCAAUAGGAAACAUACCUAUUUCUGCUAAAACUGCUGUGUUUACUGCAGCUGUAUUUACACCCAAAGAUAUUUAGCAAUUGUAUUUGAAAUUUUGAUGGUAUAAAAGACACAUAUCUUCAUUCAAGACUUGAAUUAUCUUUAACUAACAUAUCAAGUGCCCAUAUUUCACUGCAAUAAAGUAGUAUAGAUUUAAACAACUUUAAAACAUUUUUAAAUGUGGAUAAAUAUUAAGUUUAUCUGCGAAUAAGGGCUUUCUAAUGCAAAACAUUGCCUUUGAAGCUUUUCUGGUCAUCUGCAUAUAACAAACAAUAAGAUACCAGAGGGACAGUCAAACUCAUAAAUAGUUUCAUUAGUUGUCAGACAAUUGUCUCCAUACCAUUUAGAAAAAUAAAGGCAACAGUAGUAUACCGCUGUUCAAAACUCAUUAAUCCAUGGACAAAAAACAAAAUCGGGGUAACAUUUGCAUUCACCUUUUCUUUCAUCACGUUUUUUUUCCAACUUUCGCUAUGAAUGUGUCAUAGAGUCAUAGUUGAGCACAUUACAUUCUUUAAACUUGUCGGUAUAUUAAAGUAUGGGAAGACAUUGAUUUCUAUUCCAUUAUAUUUGGGUUUUUACCUUAUCAUGCUUAUCUAUUUCUGUCUUUAGUCACUGUGGUUUGUAGAACAAGUUUGUAAAACUGUUUGGAUAUUAUCUAUAUAAGUCUUUAGUGAGUACUGCACGAGCAUUUCAUAGGCGGGAAUACGGGUGGGGUAUAUAAGUCCGAUACCUGGAUAAUUUGUAUCGAGGUGCUCAGAGUAACUUCAAAGUAACAACACGUUCUGCAUAGUAUUUAGUUUAGAAUAGCUAGAUGUGCGUUUGCUGGGAUAUAUUUGUAAUGUCUUAUUAUCAUAAUUAAGUGUUGUAUCGCACAGAAAAUAAGUUACUGCGAGUAAACCAAACCUACAUUUUAUCUUACCAC
RNAcentral lists this long non-coding RNA (1265 nucleotides) under Mytilus galloprovincialis (Mediterranean mussel). Lineage: Eukaryota; Metazoa; Mollusca; Bivalvia; Mytilida; Mytilidae. The record is from RNAcentral.